UGGGGGAUAUUGCACAAUGGGCGAAAGCCUGAUGCAGCGACGCCGCGUGGGGGAUGAAGGCCUUCGGGUUGUAAACUUCUUUUGCUCUGAACAAGGCGCACCAUGGGGUGUGUUGAGUGUAGGGGUUGAUUAGCGCCGGCUAACUACGUGCCAGCAGCCGCGGUAAUACGUAGGGCGCGAGCGUUGUCCGGAAUUAGUGGGCGUAAAGGGCUUGUAGGUGGCUGGUUGCGUCUGUCGUGAAAGCUCAUGGCUUAACUGUGGGUUUGCGGUGGGUACGGGCUGGCUUGAGUGCAGUAGGGGAGGCUGGAAUUCCUGGUGUAGCGGUGGAAUGCGCAGAUAUCAGGAGGAAUACCGGUGGCGAAGGCGGGUCUCUGGGCUGUUACUGACACUGAGGAGCGAAAGCAUGGGGAGCGAACAGG
This 419-nucleotide ribosomal RNA is filed under the name bacterium. RNAcentral's name for it is "partial 16S ribosomal RNA". It matches the Rfam family "Bacterial small subunit ribosomal RNA", at positions 355 to 776 of the family's 1533-position model. The record is from RNAcentral.